CCAGGUAACAGCUCACUAAUCGCUUAGCAAGGAUGAGUCCGCGUCAUACGAGAAGGAAAGCACUCACAGUCAAUAUUAUUGCUUCUCCGGUGUUGUCGAUUGCUUAAAAGCUGGCCUCUUUAUGUCUGUUUCAAGAGAAGAAAAGAAAAAAAGAAAACAAAAGUGGCUCCCCUCCACGGCUGCUUCUGUGGUUGCAUGGCCUCUUGGCUCCUACAUGUAGUGGUGUGUGAAUCAGUUGCAUGAUUAAUUAAUUAUAUAACAGUAAAAUUCGAUAUAUAGUCAGCAGCGACUUGGAAAUGGAGUUGGGAGGUAACUGCUACUCGCAGUAAGUCGGAAUGCCUUGCGCGCCACCUGUGCAAAAUAUUUCUGCGCUCCCACAUCUUGUAAAUGUAGCUCCAAAAUAUGAAUCUAAAAGCAACUCUUUGAGAUCUCUUUGGAACCUCUAGCUGAGCAACAUUUGUUCCCUGGAUUUUUAGUAAAAAAAAAUUCCAGACUGGUAACCAUAGUUUCUAUCUUUC
This 518-nucleotide long non-coding RNA is filed under the name Citrus maxima (pomelo). Its description in RNAcentral is "long non-coding RNA (CMAX_LNC002644)". Lineage: Eukaryota; Viridiplantae; Streptophyta; Magnoliopsida; Sapindales; Rutaceae. The record is from RNAcentral.